RNAcentral lists this ribosomal RNA (2860 nucleotides) under Candidatus Woesearchaeota archaeon. RNAcentral's name for it is "23S ribosomal RNA". It matches the Rfam family "Archaeal large subunit ribosomal RNA". Lineage: Archaea; Nanobdellati; Candidatus Woesearchaeota. The record is from RNAcentral.
AUUAGGUGGAUAGUUUGGCUCAGUAAGAUGAAGAAGGACGUGACAAGCUACGAAAUGUCUCGGCGAGGUGCAGGUAACCGUUGAACCGAGAAUCUCCGAAUGUGACUUCACUUUGAAUCUGUAAAGAUGAGUAACGCAGGGAAUUGAAACAUCUUAGUACCUGCAGGAAAAGAAAUCAAAAGAGAUGCUGUUAUUAAGGGCGACUGAAAGCAGCACAAGGCAAACUGAAUCCUUUGCAGUAAUGUAAAGGAGAUGUGGUGUGGCCAUCGUUAUAAACCAUUUUUGUGAAUUGAAGUUUUCUGGAAAGUCAUACCAUAGAGGGUGAAAGUCCCGUAAGUAAAACAAAGAUGGUUUUAGGUGGUACCUCGAGUAGUAUUCAUCGGAUAUUGAAUAUGAAUGUGGGAGUAUCAACUUCCAACCUUAAAUACUCACUGAGUCCGAUAGCAAAGGAGUACCGUGAGGGAAAACUGAAAAGAACCCUUAACAGGGAGUUAAAAGAACUUGAAACCUAAUAACUAUAGCAAGGUAGGGCUCUACGGAGUUCUGCCGUGCGUUUAGAAUAACGUACCAGGGAGUAAAUCUAUGUGGCGAAGAUAAUCUUAUACAAGAGUAUCUAUAGCGAAAGCAAAACCUUGCAGAUUCGAGAAGGGGGGUACUAACCUGCCUUAAGUCACAUGGAUCUGACCCGAAGCGGGACGAUCUAUCCUUGAAUAAGAUGAAAUGUAGGUCAAACUGCAUGGAGGUCUGAAGGAGUGCUACGUGCAAGUGCUUCUCUAAUUUGAGGUUAGGGGUGAAAAGCCAAUCGAGUUCCGUGAUAGCUGGUUCCUACCAAAGUUGGCCAAAGUCAAGCCUUGAGUCAGAUAGCAUAGACGGUAGAGCUACGGAUUGGGGGCUCAGGGGAAGAAAUUCCUCGGUUCCUUGUCCAACUCCGAAUGUUUAUGCAUCGUAGCUCAGGAGACGCGUAUACGGGGUAAGCUUGUAUACGGAGAGGGGAACAACCCAGACUAUAGUUAAGGCCCCUAAACGCUAACUAAGUGUUAACGGGUGAAGAGUGUUCAUUCACACAGACAGCAAGGAGGUUGGCUUAGAAGCAGCCACCCUAUAAUAAGUGCGUAACAGCUUACUUGUCAAGUGGAUGAGCCUCGAAAAUGGACGGGGCUAAGUUAGCUGCCGAUACUAUAGACCAUCUAAAAGAUGAGUGGUAGGUAGGCGUUCUGGUUGGGCAGAAGGUUUUACAAGAGUAAGACUGGACCGAUUAGAAAUGAAAAUCCUGGUGGUAGUAGGAUCUUAGCAGAGUGAGAAUCUCUGUCACCGAAAGGGCAAGGGUUCCUUGACAAUGUCGAUCAAUCAAGGGUUAGUUAAUCCUAACUGUUCUCAUAACUUGAGAAACGGGAAAGGGAAACAGGUUAAUAUUCCUGUACUAUUAAAGUAAACGUGGUAACACAAGUUUAAUUCCUGACGCUUUUGGUUAGGCUAACACAAAUUAUCUUUUGUGCUAAUUAGAAUAAAUUAAUGGAGUAUCAUAACGAUGAGAAAUUAAUUAAGUCUAAGAAUGGUGCUCUUUGAGCAUUUAGCUGAUACCAUGAGCCCAUGAAAAGGGAAUUGAAAAUGAUCUUUAAUAUUUAUACCCAGAACCAGCACUGGUGCCCCUAGGUGAGAAGCCUAAGGUGUGAAGGUUUAAUCUGACUAAGGGAAUUCGGCAAAUUAGCCCCGUGCCUUUGGUAUAAGGGGUUCCUGUAAUUGUUUCUGUAUAGAGGCGAUUGUAGGAUGCAAAUAUUAGGGUGGUCCGACUGUUUAACAAAAACAUAGCUUUCUGCUAGCCUGUAAAGGUGUGUACAGAAGGUGAAGUCUGCCCAGUGCCCGUACUUUAAACUCCUUUCCAAGGGAGCUAAGAGCGGGUAAACGGCGGGAGUAACUAUAACUCUCUUAAGGUAGCGAAAUGCCUUGCCGUUUGAAUGACGGCUUGCAUGAAUGGCUUAACGAGAUCACCGCUGUCCCUAGUCAGAAUCCUCCGAACACCCUUUUCUGGUGCAAAGGCCAGAGAUUUCCAGUGGGAAGUGAAGACCCCGUGAAACUUUACUGUAGCCUGUAAUUGUGAUGUGAGUUUUGUUGUAUAGCGUAGAUGGGAGUUGUUAUGUUCUGGUCGCCAGAUCAGGAAUAGACGUCAGUGAAACACCAUCCAUCAAAACUUAUGUUGCUAACUAGCUCAAAGCUAGGACAGUUAUAGGUGGACAGUUUGGCUGGGGUGGCACCCUGCUGAAAUUGUAUCAGUAGGGCCCAAUGGUUAGCUCAAGUCGGUCAGAAAUCGACUGGAGAGUGCAAGGGCAAAAGCUAGCCUGAUUGGAUCUUCACUAAUUCAAGAUCUAAAAACGAAAGUUUGGCCUAGCGAACUCCUAUACCUCAUUGAUGGAGGUUAGGAAUGACAAAAAAGUUACUCCGGGGAUAACAGAGUUGUCGCGCCCGAGAGCUCAUAUUCAUGUUUGCACUUGCAAAUAUGAUAGAGUAAAUCGACGGCGCGGUUUGCUACAUCGAUGUCGGCUCUUCCUAUCCUGGUCGUGCAGAAGCGACCAAGGGUGCGGGUGUUCACCGAUUAAAAGGGAUCGUGAGCUGGGUUCAGAACGCUGUGAGGCAGUUUGUUUAAUAUCUACUGGAAAUGUUGGAAAUUUGAAAGGAAGAAUCUUCUAGUACGAGAGGAACGAAGGUUCGGAGCCACUGGUCCACCGGUUAUCUGAUAAGGUAAGCCGGGCAGCUACGCUCUAGAGGAUAAGUACUGAAAGCAUCUAAGUACGAAACCUUCCUUGAAAAGAAAUUUCUUGAACUCUCAUAAAAGAUGAGGUUAAUGGAUACGGUGUGUAAGUAC